UACGUAGGGCGCAAGCGUUAUCCGGAAUUAUUGGGCGUAAAGAGCUCAUAGGCGGUUUGUCGCGUCUGCUGUGAAAGACCGGGGCUCAACUCCGGUUCUGCAGUGGGUACGGGCAGACUAGAGUGAUGUAGGGGAGACUGGAAUUCCUGGUGUAGCGGUGAAAUGCGCAGAUAUCAGGAGGAACACCGAUGGCGAAGGCAGGUCUCUGGGCAUUAACUGACGCUGAGGAGCGAAAGCAUGGGGAGCGAACAGG
Molecule: ribosomal RNA, 253 nt
Filed under: uncultured bacterium
Lineage: Bacteria
Description: partial 16S ribosomal RNA
Rfam family: Bacterial small subunit ribosomal RNA
Source: RNAcentral